UUCAUUUAUAAAGGUUCUCAAAUAAACUCAUUAAAGACUAAAAUAUUGAAGUAAAAGGAAUAAUAAAUGCUAGGGAAGGAAACAACGUCAAAAAGAGUAUUUGAGAAGCUAAAAAUAUUGAAGCAAAAAGUAAUUUAAAUGAGCUUUUAAUUAGUAGCCCAUUAAAUAGUAACGUAACUUAGUAAACCCUAAUAUAAAAACAAAGUCUAGUGUUUUAUCUCUCAGCCGCAUGUUUCAACUUGCCGUUUGCUUCUCCUCGCUGUCAAAGUCAUCGGAACCGGCAAAAUUCAAAGAUGAAAACAUAAAAAGAAGGUUCGUUCAUUUGUAAAGUUGAGUUUCUCAUGUCCAGAUCUGAUUCAUUUGCCCAGUUCUGAUUCAUUUCUUGUUGUUAAUUUCUUGUUGCCCACAUUCACCACUACUCUUACACUCGACGGAGCCAUCAAACAUCAAAACUCAAUAUGCAGGGUGAGUUGACUGAGCACUAUUCUCUUUUUCUAUGUAUCUCAUCUUGUCCUUUGUAUUUUUGUUUGAUUUUUUUUCACUGGCCAGAUCUGAUUCAUUUAUCCUUAUGAAGAAAGUAAAUAUGAAGUGGAGGAAGAGCUUCAAUCAGAAGCAAAUUAAAAGGAAUAGAAGUGGAGGAAGAGUGUUAAUUUAAGGAAGAUCAUGAUCACUGGUGGUCUUUGUUCUAUCUAGUUUAGGUGUUUUGUAAUUUUAAUUUUGGUUUUGUAACAUAUUGAUUGGAACAUUUGUUUUUUUCUUUGGGUUAGGUUCUUAAUUUUUUUUUUUUGGAAUUGUAAAGGAAAAGAAAUUGUAUAUUCUAUUUAGUUAAUUAAUGAAAAACUUUGUGAAAUAAUAAUAAUUUUAUGAAAUAUUCGGUUUAAUAAUUACUAAUUAUUUAAUAAUUUAAAAUUUAAAUUUAACAAAAUUAUUGUGAUUAAUG
This 940-nucleotide long non-coding RNA is filed under the name Capsella rubella. RNAcentral describes it as "long non-coding RNA (CRUB_LNC002612)". Lineage: Eukaryota; Viridiplantae; Streptophyta; Magnoliopsida; Brassicales; Brassicaceae. The record is from RNAcentral.